This is a long non-coding RNA of Sciurus carolinensis (gray squirrel), 1222 nucleotides long. RefSeq lists it as uncharacterized. The record is from RefSeq and is a predicted model, not a curated record. Lineage: Eukaryota; Metazoa; Chordata; Mammalia; Rodentia; Sciuridae. The transcript is spliced from 3 exons.
AGCACAGGCCAGGAUGCGAUCUGGGGAAGAUGAGAAAGUAAGGAACAGAUUGGAGGCACUGAGGUGACUGACAUGAGUGACAAGUGACAAGGAGCCGCAGGAAGCGAUGCUGUGGUGGACCAGAAGAGCUUCCCAAAAUGUGAAGUUUGUUGAGAUGAAGACAAGUAAGAAGAAGGUGCUGAAAACUGCUGAGAAGCCCACAGAACUUUGGCAACAGCUCUGAUUCUGAAGUCAUGACCAUCAUCUCCCACAGAACUCUCAACAGAGAGUCAUCUCUGGUUCUCAAGUGAGCCUUAUGCCCUACAUCCCCAUUGUCUUUUCUGACUUCACUGUGUUCGAGUUCUCUGCUUCAUUCCUUCUGCUCAUUCAGGGGAUAACCCUGUGCCAAUCUUACCAAGAAAAUAUAACCACUGGGGUAAUACUUCCCCAUCUUCUGGCCACCUCCUACCUAUAAAUCUAUCCAUAUUUCCCCUUAUGACUUCUUUCAUUUCCCAGUUAGUAGAAAGGGUAUCUGCAUUCCCAAGAAAGGUAAAUCCAUCCCGAAUCUCAUGAUCAAGAUUCCUUCUCAUUUGGCCUCCUUCAUGACCAUUCUCUAACCCUUCAACUUCUCUGGUAUGUGCAACACCUGCCCAGCAUUUAAGGUACUUAAUGCUGUAUUGAGCAUGCACAAAUAGCUGUACUUAUUAUGACUUUAGAGAGUUGGCAUCAAAUGUAGAAGAGCAUUUAAUGUAUCAUGGCAAACUUGAGUCACAUUUUCAGCUCUUUGUGUACAGAGCAAUUUAAAAUUUUAACCUGUGCCUUUAAGUGCAUUUAUACCAUGAAAACUGAUUUCCAAAUACCAAAGCAGUCAUUUGAGUAAAUUCAUUUAGAAAAUAUCCAAUCAUAUUUCUUUCUCAGAAAGACUAAUUUAUACAAGCACAAGGAGGAAAAUGCCAGAAGUUCCCUUGCCCCUAAACUUAGGUCUACACUCAUGUUGUAUCUUUCCCCCCAAGCCCUGGUAUCUAAUGAAAUGUAAUUGUGCAGGGGGUCAAGUACAGAGGAAAAGCAAAAGAAUCAAAUCCACUUGGAGAGAUGGAAGGAGGAGUUCACUUUCAUAUUUCUUAAGGAGAGUGUGUUCUUUUCUUUCAUUUGCUCAAUCAUUGAAAAAGUGUUAUUGAGCUUCUACCAGGAGGCAGGCACUAAGGAAACACAAAUGCAAAAGUUGCUCUUACAGGUAAAUGGA